GGGAAAAAGCCAGCAGAGUUGGUAAGAAGAAAAAAAAGAUUCUGUAAAGUCACGGUAUGGAUAAGAUGUUUCACAUUGUUGUCUUUGACAAGACAAAUGAGGUUGAAGUUGUGCCUUCAGUCUGGAUUAAAAAUGGAGAGUGCAUGUGGCCUCCAAAUAAGAUAGAUAUAACAAAAGCUGUGAAAUCACAGGAGAGUCCUGGAGAUGACUGGAAGCCCCAUAAGGCCAGAAUUAU
Molecule: long non-coding RNA, 235 nt
Organism: Carassius carassius (crucian carp)
Lineage: Eukaryota; Metazoa; Chordata; Actinopteri; Cypriniformes; Cyprinidae
Exons: 3
Source: RefSeq, a predicted model, not a curated record